AUUGAACGCUGGCGGCAUGCCUUACACAUGCAAGUCGAACGGCAGCACGGGAGCAAUCCUGGUGGCGAGUGGCGAACGGGUGAGUAAUAUAUCGGAACGUGCCCAGUCGUGGGGAUAACGUAGCGAAAGCUACGCUAAUACCGCAUACGAUCUAUGGAUGAAAGCGGGGGAUCGCAAGACCUCGCGCGAUUGGAGCGGCCGAUAUCAGAUUAGGUAGUUGGUGAGGUAAAGGCUCACCAAGCCGACGAUCUGUAGCUGGUCUGAGAGGACGACCAGCCACACUGGGACUGAGACACGGCCCAGACUCCUACGGGAGGCAGCAGUGGGGAAUUUUGGACAAUGGGCGCAAGCCUGAUCCAGCAAUGCCGCGUGCAGGAUGAAGCU
RNAcentral lists this ribosomal RNA (384 nucleotides) under uncultured bacterium. RNAcentral describes it as "bacterial SSU rRNA". It matches the Rfam family "Bacterial small subunit ribosomal RNA", at positions 30 to 415 of the family's 1533-position model. The record is from RNAcentral.